GCCAGACUCCUACGGGAGGCAGCAGUGAGGAAUAUUGGUCAAUGGCCGCAGGGCUGAACCAGCCAAGUCGCGUGAGGGAUGACGGUCCUAUGGAUUGUAAACCUCUUUUGUCAGGGAGCAAAGGGCGCCACGUGUGGCGUUUUGCGAGUACCCGAAGAAAAAGCAUCGGCUAACUCCGUGCCAGCAGCCGCGGUAAUACGGAGGAUGCGAGCGUUAUCCGGAUUUAUUGGGUUUAAAGGGUGCGCAGGCGGAGGUGCAAGUCAGUGGUCAAAUUGCGGGGCUCAACCCCGUACUGCCGUUGAAACUGCAUCCCUUGAGUGCGCGAGAAGUAUGCGGAAUGCGUGGUGUAGCGGUGAAAUGCUUAGAUAUCACGAAGAACCCCGAUUGCGAAGGCAGCCUGCCGCAGCGUUACUGACGCUGAAGCUCGAAAGCGCGGGUAUCGAACAGGAUUAGAUACCCCAGUA
Molecule: ribosomal RNA, 464 nt
Filed under: uncultured bacterium
Lineage: Bacteria
Description: bacterial SSU rRNA
Rfam family: Bacterial small subunit ribosomal RNA
Source: RNAcentral